AUCCAGCUAACUAGUCCCAAAUAGGACGAAACGCGCGUCCUGGAU
RNAcentral lists this non-coding RNA (45 nucleotides) under Schistosoma mattheei. The record is from RNAcentral. Lineage: Eukaryota; Metazoa; Platyhelminthes; Trematoda; Strigeidida; Schistosomatidae.